This 5876-nucleotide long non-coding RNA is filed under the name Sus scrofa (pig). Its description in RNAcentral is "lncRNA (ENSSSCG00065034929.1)". The record is from RNAcentral. Lineage: Eukaryota; Metazoa; Chordata; Mammalia; Artiodactyla; Suidae.
AACAUUUCCUCCUUUUCUACUUUUUGGAAGAUUUUCUAACACUGGUAUUAUUUCUGCUUUAAAGCUUGUAUAGAGUUGGCUGGUGAAAUCAUCUGGGCCUGAAGAUUUCUUUUCCAGAAGGCUUCAACUAUGAAUUCAAUUUCUUUAAUUAUAAUAGGACUGUUUAUCUAUUUAAACUUGAGCGAGUUUUGGUAGUUCGUGGUAUUUAAGGCCUUUUUGAUCUUUACAAUAAUUCUGUGAAGUAGCUAAACCAGAUAGUCUGAACUCACUGCUCGGAACAGAUCCUAUUAUUAUAUAGGAGAAGCUUAGUUAAUUUUAGUAGGAUGAAUUUGUUAAAAGAACUCCGUUUCACAAAUGAGGAAACUAGGGUUCAGAGUGGUGAAAUAACUUGGUGAAAAUUAUUUAGCUCAUAAGCGCUAAUGCUAGGAUUCAAACUCCAAAACAAAAAUAGCUUUUGAAGAAGAAAGAAAAAAUAAGAAGGGAACUAGUUCAGCAUCUGUUUUGUGCCAGAAGUGGAGCAUCAGUGGAUGCUUUCAUUUAACAUCUCAUAUAAAUUCUGACAGCAAUCCUGUGAUACAGGUGUUGCUAUCUUCAUUUAAAUUCAAGGGAAAUAAAGCUCUAUAUUAGUCAGGGUCCUAGCCAGAAAUACGGUACACUUAUGUUAGGGCAAUUUGAGGAGGGUUUAAUAAAGGGACUAUUUACAAGGUAUAGGCAGGGUGUGGGGAAACUGCAAGGGGUAGUGAAAUAGCCUGGGGCUAGUAUGUAGGGCUUUUACCCCAUCACUGCCACCCAGGCCCAAAGGGACGAAGGAAAGGAGACGCUAGAAAGAGAGAGCAUGUGGAAAAAGAGGCUCUAGAGCAGGUAGCCUUCAGAUGAGCAGUGGUAUUUGGUCAAGGGACAUAGCUAACUCCCCACGGGGGGACUCCACAGGGAGGAAGAAACACUCUUCUCUCAAUCUUUGAUCGCUGGCCAGAGUUCCCUUCUGGCCAAAGCUAACCAGAAGCCAGAGGCCAGUCAGGCCUGUUGAUGUAAUCCAUACCAGUUUCCUGAGGAGGAAAGCAGGACAGAGUGAAUCCAGACGAUAAAGAUGUUGAAUAACUUGUCCAGGGUCACAUGGCAACCUGCUAAGAGGCAGAUUUAGAAGUCAAGUUCCAGAGUUCCAGUUCUUGACGUUGUACUUGUCCACCUUCCCCAAGGGCCUGACUUUCAGGGCCAAAGUGACAGAAAGGGCCUGUGAUAAGUCCCCCAAUAUGUAUAUGUUCCCAUUUUGUUUCGCUUUGCCCCCUGCAAUGUAAAUACAGAUACUUUGGUAUCAUAGCAUGCAUGCCAUUAGGGUACUGGAGGAAGGUUAGAAAAAGAAUGGCAGGAAGUGGAAGGAGUUUUGCCGGAGUGAGGAAGCAAGAAAGGCGAUGGAAGCUAAGGGAAAGAAUCUAAGACCAUGAGCAGGCCAAGAGCAAGCACAUUAGGCUAGAAAUAUGCAGUGAGUGCUUGCUGUGCCGACUACGGAAGUUGACAAAGGCUAAAGAGAAUCAAGGCUGAAAAAAAAGGAAAGAAACACCUUGAGGAGCAUGGCUUCGAGUAGUCUCAGAAGUCCUUGCUAAAGAGCCUAACCUGCUGGUGGGUAAAAGAGGGAAGAAUAGAAGUUGCUGAGAGAGUUGGCCUCCAUGAUGUGGCUGUCACCUGCAUUUUGCUUAGAUGUGUAUAACCUGUAUCCCUAAACCCCUCACACUGGGCAAGGCAGGCCUUGGUGCGGCCAGCAGGUACUGAGGUAGGGCUGUGGGCUCCCAGAGAGAGGAAUGAGAGCCUCUCCUUAACACUGCGCGUUUGACCUCCCUGCUUCCUUACUGUGAGCUCUGUAAUGACAGCCUCAGGCAGUGAUACAUGGUCUGGUCUCCUCCUCCCAGCUAUUGUUGGGUCAGUGUCUCCAGCCAUGGUUUUCUGAGGGGUCUCUGGUAGCCCGGGAGCUAAUUUGAGCAAGACCACCUUGACCACCAACCUUUGCAGUAUCCAGCUCAAUAGUUUUCAACCUUGGCUAAACAUUAGGAUCACAGCAAGGAUGGGGGGAGGGGAGGGAGCAUGGGCCUCUUGCGAGUCAUGUGACCAGUGCAAUUACACAGGGUCCCAUGCUCAAAAGGGGGCCCCAUGCUGGGGGUUUAAUGCUCCGUGGUUGCCAUUUGAAAUUCUUAGUACUUUUAUCUUUGAACCCCUCUUUUGUAAGUAAAGUCCAGUGGGACAAUAGAGAAUGUACUAGGGGCUUAGAACCUUGCUUCGCGUAUGGUUCCAUCUCCCACUCCUUCCCCAUAUCUUCACGAUGGGUACUUGACUGUCACUCCCUUGAUUCCAGGGGCCAGGACCCUUAUCUUCCCCGCCCCCAUUUGUGUCGCUCCAUCCCCAGCAAGGGCCUCAGUGUGGGGAGGGUCAAGGUCAGUGGGUGAAUCUUGAAGCCCCUUAGGGUGAGGCAUGGCAAUGAUUAUCCUUGCACCUGGGGCUCCCCCAGUGCAUUCUUGUGGGGAGCUGGGAGGUACCUGUAUGCUGUUGGUUGAGGUAGUAGGCUCACAGGAGGGGAGAUGCCUGGCUCAGCUUCCUUGCCCUCUGACAAGGCACAGCAUGUUACUCCAGCCACUAGUAGAAGGAGGGAACCCAACAUUUGUCUGGCCCCAGCACACACAAGUGACACAGGUCAUGUUUCCCAGGUAGGGUUCCCAGGUGCCUAUGAGGGUCUGCCCAUGCCUCACGAGUGCCUCCCCAUGCCCUAGAGAGGGUCCUUUGGACCUAGUCCAUGUCUAGGUGACCCUCUUUUCCUCCUCAUAACUUCCUUGAGUCUGGCUUUGUGUUCAUCUCUCUUGGCCAUCUCAAGACACCUUCCAGGGAUGGGGCGUGAAAUGCAAAUUGUGCAAUUUUGGUGAUUCUGUGUAUGAGUUAAAUGCUCGGAUAUUUGUAUCUAAAACUGGUAUUGUACAACAUAAAGUUGAACAGUAAAAUACAUUAAUAAUUGCAAUUUUAGGGAGUUCCCUUGUGGUGCAGUGGGUUAAGGACUUGGUAUUGUCACUAAAGUGGCUUGGGUUACUUGUGGCGUGAGUUAGAUCCCUUGCCCGGGAAUUUUCGUAUGCUGCUGGCGCAGCCUAAAAAAAUUGAAAUUUUUACUUUUUCUUGACUUAGAAUGACAUCGAAUAGCAAAUAGAAAACACCAGUUGAAAGAAAGACUACAGAAGAAGAGAAAAAUCUUUAUAUUUUAUUACCAUUAAGGAGACUUUUACCCUGCUUUUUGUACAAGGAGUGCUUGUUCAUUUUGCACUGGGCCCCACAAAUUAUGUAUUUAGUCUUGCCUGGGUGUAUAUUUAAAGCAUAUGGUUGCAUCCAACUUAAUUGAUAUUGGAUAGGGCUCUAGGCAUCUGUAUUUUUAAAGGCACCUCAGAGAAUCUGUCAUAAAAAUACAUUACAAAUAAGCAAGAAGGAAAAUCUAGAAUAAACUCUCUGGUACUUGAUUAGAGGCAGAGAUAUCCAUAUGAAAAAAUAUAUAAGCAUAUCUAUAUUCAUGUAUCCAUAUAUAAAUACAUACAUGCAGAGAUAAAUAGAUGCAGAAAUGAAUAUUGAUAUUUGUGUAUACACAGAUUGUUUUACAUGCACGUGUUUCCUAGCUCUGUCUACUGACAGGGCCUAGAAACAGCAACAUUCAAGUAGAAUUGAGCUUGUUUUCCAAAUACUAUUCUCAAGUAAAAAGAACUGGGCCUAGUAAUAAUUUUGGAAGGAAAGAUAUUUGCAUAGCUUAAAAUGGUCACCCCCAGAAUAUUUAUUAAUUGUUAUGGUGGUUUCAACAUAGUCUUUGAUACUCCUCACUACAGGAGGUGGCGAUUAAUGCCCUUACAUUGAAUGUGGGCUAGACUUAGUAAUUCAGUUCUAAUGAAGUAUGGAAAGGGACAGAUAGUGGUUUUACUAUUUACUAUUUAUGUGUUCUAGUUAAUAUGUAAGUAAGUUGAAAGUGAAAGUAGAGGAAGAUAUGCUAUGCAAAUAUUAUUCAAAGGAAAGUGGAAGUGGCUAUAUGACUAUCAGACAAAGUAGAUUUCAGAGCAAAGAAAAUUACUCCUUUGCUCUUUUUCCUGCCUUCUCAGAAUUUAACUGAGGUUUUCUGUGGUUUCAUUUUAUCCCCUCUCUUAGAAUAUCAAUUAUAUCGUAAAAAAUUUUUCUUAGUGGUUGCCCUAGAGUUUGCAAUAUACUUUUUUUUUUUUUUUUUUUUGGCUGUGCCUGCAGAAUUUGGAAGUUCCUGGGCCAGGGAUGGAAUCCUUGCCACAGCAGCAACCCAAGCUGCUACAGUGACAAUGCUGGAUCCUUAACUCUCUGAGCCACAAGAGAACUCUGUAAUAUACAUUUUAAAACGAGGCCAUCCUCAAAUAACACUCUACCACUUUACAUGUAGUACAGGUGCCUUAUAACAGAGUGUUGUUAAAUCUUUUCUAUCCCUUGUGACAUUGCUGUAAUUGAUUUCACUUAUCCAUAUGCUGUAAUUACUAUUGUUAGUAUUAUUGCUUUAAACAGUUAUCUUUAAACCAAGAAUUAGAAAAAAUUAUAUAUUUUAUUUUACCUUGAUUUGUUUCUUCUCUGAAGCUCUUCCUUUCUUUAUGUAGAUCCAAGUUUCUGACCUCUAUCAUUUUUUCUUCCCCUGAAGAACUUCUUUUAACAUUUUGUGCAGGAUCAGUCUGUUUUUAUUUCCCUCUAUUUUUUGUUUUUCUAAAAGACUUUCUCUUUCACUUCUAAAGGAUAAUUUUGCUGGAUCUAGAAUCUGGAUUGGUGUUUUCUUCUUUCAACACUUUAAAUAUUUCACUUCACUCUCUUGUUUGCAUGGCUUCUCAAGAAGUCUGAUAUAAUUCUUAUGCUUGUCCCUUUGUAAGAAGAUUCCCUCACUCUGUCUUCCUUAAAGAUAUUUUCUUUGUAUUUGAUUUUCUAAAGUUGGCUAGAGGGGUUGAUGGAGUGGGAACAAUGCGCUUCCCCAGUUGGGAUAAGGUUCUGGCAAAGUCUUUUUCCUUGUAGAGUUAUGGGGAUGGCUCCUGGCAUAUUUCACAGUGAUUCUUAUUUCCCUCUCUCUGCAAGAUCCACAGGAGGAUCUUAUUCAGAUCUUUCCUGUGAGAAUUUGGUGGAUUUCCUGAAGGGAUGGGGGGUGCCCCUGUGCCUUCAGUCCUUAGAGUUUCUCACUCUCAUAGUAGUCCAUACUCAUCCUCCGGCAGUUUGUAAAAAUGACUGUUUUGGGUGUUUCUACCAGUUUAUGAUUCCAGAGUCUGCUUCUGCAGGUAAGUAAAUUACUGCUGUAUCUCUCUAGAUGUUCCUGAAUCUUCAGCUUUUGGGGGGGGUUCCCUGCAACCUCAGUUUUCUGAUGUGUUCAAGAAAAGUCAUUGAGUUUCAGUUUGUCUAGUUUUUCUGAAAAAAAAAUGAUGGGUGUGAUCACUUCCGAGUUAUUAUCAGAGCUGAAAUCAAAAGACUAUUUCAAAAUUUAUAUGAAAAUGCACAAGUCAUGGAAUAGCUAAACGAUUUUGAAAAAAGAAGAAGAAAGUGGAAGGAAUCAGUCUACCUGGUUUCAAGACUUAUUAUAUGGUUACAUUAAUCAAGACACUGCGCUUUGGCAGAAGUAGAGACACACAGAUCAAUGGAACAGAAUAGAGAGUCCAGAAAUAGAGCCACACAAAUAUGCCUAACUGGUUUUUGACAAAGUUGCAAAAGCAAUUCAGUGAAGAAAGGAUAGCAUUUUCAACAAAUGGUACAGGAGCAAUUGAACAUCCAUAGAUUAAAAAAAAUAAAAGAUAUGUGUGACUGGGUCCCCCUGCUGUACAGUGGGAAAAAAAAUUGUGUUGGGGGGAAAUAACAAUAAAAAAUAAAAAUAAAAAAAA